RNAcentral lists this ribosomal RNA (458 nucleotides) under Escherichia coli. RNAcentral describes it as "bacterial SSU rRNA". It matches the Rfam family "Bacterial small subunit ribosomal RNA", at positions 1 to 455 of the family's 1533-position model. The record is from RNAcentral. Lineage: Bacteria; Pseudomonadati; Pseudomonadota; Gammaproteobacteria; Enterobacterales; Enterobacteriaceae.
AAAUUGAAGAGUUUGAUCAUGGCUCAGAUUGAACGCUGGCGGCAGGCCUAACACAUGCAAGUCGAACGGUAACAGGAAGAAGCUUGCUUCUUUGCUGACGAGUGGCGGACGGGUGAGUAAUGUCUGGGAAACUGCCUGAUGGAGGGGGAUAACUACUGGAAACGGUAGCUAAUACCGCAUAACGUCGCAAGACCAAAGAGGGGGACCUUCGGGCCUCUUGCCAUCGGAUGUGCCCAGAUGGGAUUAGCUAGUAGGUGGGGUAAGGGCUCACCUAGGCGACGAUCCCUAGCUGGUCUGAGAGGAUGACCAGCCACACUGGAACUGAGACACGGUCCAGACUCCUACGGGAGGCAGCAGUGGGGAAUAUUGCACAAUGGGCGCAAGCCUGAUGCAGCCAUGCCGCGUGUAUGAAGAAGGCCUUCGGGUUGUAAAGUACUUUCAGCGGGGAGGAAGGGAGU